AAUGUCUGCUUUAUUCCACAGAUUAAGGAUUUGAGUUGGCCUGACGGAGAGAUCUUCCAGGCGACUCCGGCCCAUGGAGGAUGCAGAGCAUCACAUCAGAUCAAACAUUGAUAAACCAGUACUUUACCAGCGUUUUAUCAAUAUCUUUAAAGGACGGGGAGUUUUUGCCACUGAAUUCAUAUCCAAAGGAGACUUUGUUGUGGAGUACCGAGGUGAACUGCUUACACAACAGGAGGGCGAGGUCCGAGCUGAUCAGUACAAUGAUUCUGCAAAGGUGUUUCUUUUCGAUUUCCAAUGGAAAGGAAGAACAUGGUGCAUUGAUGCAUCUGAAGAAGACUCCUCCCUUGGGAGACUCGUUAAUGAUGAUCACUAAAGACUCAAUCUCAAAAUGAAGGCCAUACAAGCAAACGAUGAGCCACACUUGUGCCU
This is a long non-coding RNA of Salvelinus namaycush (lake trout), 429 nucleotides long. RefSeq lists it as uncharacterized. NCBI's taxonomy places the organism in Eukaryota, Metazoa, Chordata, Actinopteri, Salmoniformes, Salmonidae. The transcript is spliced from 3 exons. The record is from RefSeq and is a predicted model, not a curated record.